AUUGAACGCUGGCGGCAUGCCUUACACAUGCAAGUCGAACGGCAGCACGGACUUCGGUCUGGUGGCGAGUGGCGAACGGGUGAGUAAUGUAUCGGAACGUACCUUUCAGUGGGGGGAUAACGUAGCGAAAGUUACGCUAAUACCGCAUAUUCUGUGAGCAGGAAAGCAGGGGAUCGCAAGACCUUGCGCUGAUUGAGCGGCCGAUAUCAGAUUAGCUAGUUGGUGGGGUAAAGGCCUACCAAGGCUACGAUCUGUAGCGGGUCUGAGAGGAUGAUCCGCCACACUGGAACUGAGACACGGUCCAGACUCCUACGGGAGGCAGCAGUGGGGAAUUUUGGACAAUGGGGGCAACCCUGAUCCAGCCAUGCCGCGUGAGUGAAGAAGGCCUCGGGUUGGUAAAGGUAC
This 405-nucleotide ribosomal RNA is filed under the name uncultured bacterium. RNAcentral describes it as "bacterial SSU rRNA". It matches the Rfam family "Bacterial small subunit ribosomal RNA", at positions 30 to 434 of the family's 1533-position model. The record is from RNAcentral.